ACCAUCCUUUUCUUGGGGUUGCGUUACUGUCCAAUGAACGUCUAGUGAGGGCAGUACUGCUAACGCCUGAACAACACACCCGCAUCAACUAGAGCUUUGCUUUAUCUUGGUGCAAUUUUUGGAAAA
Small nuclear RNA from Mustela putorius furo (domestic ferret), 126 nucleotides. The record is from Ensembl. NCBI's taxonomy places the organism in Eukaryota, Metazoa, Chordata, Mammalia, Carnivora, Mustelidae.